UCCAUUGGGCCCUAUUCUUCGCGUUAAGUUUCUCCGCCUGGGGAGUACGGCCGCAAGGUUAAAACUCAAAGAAAUUGACGGGGGCCCGCACAAGCGGUGGAGCAUGUGGUUUAAUUCGAUGCAACGCGAAAAACCUUACCUACCCUUGACAUCCUCGGAACUUGUCAGAGAUGACUAGGUGCCCUUUGGGAGCCGAGUGACAGGUGCUGCAUGGCUGUCGUCAGCUCGUGUCGUGAGAUGUUGGGUUAAGUCCCGUAACGAGCGCAACCCUCGUCCUUAGUUGCCAGCGGUUCGGCCGGGAACUCUAAGGAGACUGCCGGUGAUAAACUGGAGGAAGGUGGGGAUGAUGUCAAGUCAUCAUGGCCCUUACGGGUAGGGCUACACACGUGCUACAAUGGGCAAUACAAAGGGUUGCCAAACCGUGAGGUGGAGCUAAUCCCAGAAAAUUGCUCGUAGUCCGGAUUGAAGUCUGCAACUCGACUUCAUGAAGUUGGAAUCGCUAGUAAUCGCGAAUCAGAAUGUCGCGGUGAAUACGUUCUCGGGCCUUGUACACACCGCCCGUCACACCAUGGAAGUGAAUUGUACCAGAAGCGGGUAGGCA
RNAcentral lists this ribosomal RNA (601 nucleotides) under Coxiella-like endosymbiont. RNAcentral describes it as "bacterial SSU rRNA". It matches the Rfam family "Bacterial small subunit ribosomal RNA", at positions 837 to 1436 of the family's 1533-position model. The record is from RNAcentral. Lineage: Bacteria; Pseudomonadati; Pseudomonadota; Gammaproteobacteria; Legionellales; Coxiellaceae.